GAUGAACGCUGGCGGCGUGCCUAAUACAUGCAAGUCGAGCGAACGGACGAGAAGCUUGCUUCUCUGAUGUUAGCGGCGGACGGGUGAGUAACACGUGGAUAACCUACCUAUAAGACUGGGAUAACUUCGGGAAACCGGAGCUAAUACCGGAUAAUAUUUUGAACCGCAUGGUUCAAAAGUGAAAGACGGUCUUGCUGUCACUUAUAGAUGGAUCCGCGCUGCAUUAGCUAGUUGGUAAGGUAACGGCUUACCAAGGCAACGAUGCAUAGCCGACCUGAGAGGGUGAUCGGCCACACUGGAACUGAGACACGGUCCAGACUCCUACGGGAGGCAGCAGUAGGGAAUCUUCCGCAAUGGGCGAAAGCCUGACGGAGCAACGCCGCGUGAGUGAUGAAGGUCUUCGGAUCGUAAAACUCUGUUAUUAGGGAAGAACAUAUGUGUAAGUAACUGUGCACAUCUUGACGGUACCUAAUCAGAAAGCCACGGCUAACUACGUGCCAGCAGCCGCGGUAAUACGUAGGUGGCAAGCGUUAUCCGGAAUUAUUGGGCGUAAAGCGCGCGUAGGCGGUUUUUUAAGUCUGAUGUGAAAGCCCACGGCUCAACCGUGGAGGGUCAUUGGAAACUGGAAAACUUGAGUGCAGAAGAGGAAAGUGGAAUUCCAUGUGUAGCGGUGAAAUGCGUAGAGAUAUGGAGGAACACCAGUGGCGAAGGCGACUUUCUGGUCUGUAACUGACGCUGAUGUGCGAAAGCGUGGGGAUCAAACAGGAUUAGAUACCCUGGUAGUCCACGCCGUAAACGAUGAGUGCUAAGUGUUAGGGGGUUUCCGCCCCUUAGUGCUGCAGCUAACGCAUUAAGCACUCCGCCUGGGGAGUACGACCGCAAGGUUGAAACUCAAAGGAAUUGACGGGGACCCGCACAAGCGGUGGAGCAUGUGGUUUAAUUCGAAGCAACGCGAAGAACCUUACCAAAUCUUGACAUCCUUUGACAACUCUAGAGAUAGAGCUUUUCCCUUCGGGGGACAAAGUGACAGGUGGUGCAUGGUUGUCGUCAGCUCGUGUCGUGAGAUGUUGGGUUAAGUCCCGCAACGAGCGCAACCCUUAAGCUUAGUUGCCAUCAUUAAGUUGGGCACUCUAAGUUGACUGCCGGUGACAAACCGGAGGAAGGUGGGGAUGACGUCAAAUCAUCAUGCCCCUUAUGAUUUGGGCUACACACGUGCUACAAUGGACAAUACAAAGGGCAGCGAAACCGCGAGGUCAAGCAAAUCCCAUAAAGUUGUUCUCAGUUCGGAUUGUAGUCUGCAACUCGACUACAUGAAGCUGGAAUCGCUAGUAAUCGUAGAUCAGCAUGCUACGGUGAAUACGUAUCCCGGGUCU
This 1373-nucleotide ribosomal RNA is filed under the name uncultured bacterium. Its description in RNAcentral is "bacterial SSU rRNA". It matches the Rfam family "Bacterial small subunit ribosomal RNA", at positions 28 to 1381 of the family's 1533-position model. The record is from RNAcentral.